UACGUAGGGUGCAAGCGUUAAUCGGAAUUACUGGGCGUAAAGCGUGCGCAGGCGGUUCGCUAAGACAGAUGUGAAAUCCCCGGGCUUAACCUGGGAACUGCAUUUGUGACUGGCGGGCUAGAGUAUGGCAGAGGGGGGUAGAAUUCCACGUGUAGCAGUGAAAUACGUAGAGAUGUGGAGGAAUACCGAUGGCGAAGGCAGCCCCCUGGGCCAAUACUGACGCUCAUGCACGAAAGCGUGGGGAGCAAACAGG
This 253-nucleotide ribosomal RNA is filed under the name uncultured bacterium. RNAcentral's name for it is "partial 16S ribosomal RNA". It matches the Rfam family "Bacterial small subunit ribosomal RNA", at positions 524 to 776 of the family's 1533-position model. The record is from RNAcentral.